RNAcentral lists this ribosomal RNA (253 nucleotides) under uncultured bacterium. RNAcentral describes it as "partial 16S ribosomal RNA". It matches the Rfam family "Bacterial small subunit ribosomal RNA", at positions 524 to 776 of the family's 1533-position model. The record is from RNAcentral.
UACGUAGGGUGCAAGCGUUGUCCGGAAUUAUUGGGCGUAAAGAGCUCGUAGGCGGUUUGUCGCGUCGAAUGUGAAAACCCGGGGCUCAACCCCGGGCCUGCAUUCGAUACGGGCAGACUAGAGUUCGGUAGGGGAGUCUGGAAUUCCUGGUGUAGCGGUGAAAUGCGCAGAUAUCAGGAGGAACACCAAUGGCGAAGGCAGCUUACUGGGCCAUUACUGACACUGAGAUGCGAAAGUGUGGGGAGCAAACGGG